RNAcentral lists this transfer RNA (84 nucleotides) under Caldisericia bacterium. RNAcentral describes it as "tRNA-Leu". It matches the Rfam family "tRNA". From Rfam's summary of the family: Transfer RNA (tRNA) molecules are approximately 80 nucleotides in length. Their secondary structure includes four short double-helical elements and three loops (D, anti-codon, and T loops). Lineage: Bacteria; Pseudomonadati; Caldisericota; Caldisericia. The record is from RNAcentral.
GCGAGGGUGGCGAAACUGGCAGACGCGCUGGACUUAGGAUUCAGUGGACGCAAGUCCUUGCGGGUUCAAAUCCCGCCCUUCGCA